Molecule: ribosomal RNA, 377 nt
Filed under: uncultured bacterium
Lineage: Bacteria
Description: bacterial SSU rRNA
Rfam family: Bacterial small subunit ribosomal RNA
Source: RNAcentral
AUACGUAGGUGGCAAGCGUUGUCCGGAUUUAUUGGGCGUAAAGCGCGCGCAGGCGGUCUUUUAAGUCUGAUGUGAAAUCUCGCGGCUCAACCGUGAGCGGUCAUUGGAAACUGGGAGACUUGAGUACAGAAGAGGAGAGUGGAAUUCCACGUGUAGCGGUGAAAUGCGUAGAGAUGUGGAGGAACACCAGUGGCGAAGGCGACUCUCUGGUCUGUAACUGACGCUGAGGCGCGAAAGCGUGGGGAGCGAACAGGAUUAGAUACCCUGGUAGUCCACGCCGUAAACGAUGAGUGCUAGGUGUUAGGGGUUUCGAUGCCCUUAGUGCCGAAGUUAACACAUUAAGCACUCCGCCUGGGGAGUACGACCGCAAGGUUGAA